RNAcentral lists this ribosomal RNA (253 nucleotides) under uncultured bacterium. RNAcentral's name for it is "partial 16S ribosomal RNA". It matches the Rfam family "Bacterial small subunit ribosomal RNA", at positions 524 to 776 of the family's 1533-position model. The record is from RNAcentral.
UACGUAGGGUGCAAGCGUUGUCCGGAAUUACUGGGCGUAAAGCGCACGUAGGCGGAUUUGUAAGUCAGGGGUGAAAUCCCGAGGCUCAACCUCGGAACUGCCUUUGAUACUGCAAAUCUCGAGUCCGGAAGAGGUGAGUGGAAUUCCUAGUGUAGAGGUGAAAUUCGUAGAUAUUAGGAAGAACACCAGUGGCGAAGGCGGCUCACUGGUCCGGUACUGACGCUGAGGUGCGAAAGCGUGGGGAGCAAACAGG